Molecule: ribosomal RNA, 693 nt
Filed under: uncultured bacterium
Lineage: Bacteria
Description: bacterial SSU rRNA
Rfam family: Bacterial small subunit ribosomal RNA
Source: RNAcentral
AGUCGAGGGGUAACAUUGUGCUUGCACAGAUGACGACCGGCGCACGGGUGCGUAACGCGUAUAGAACCUACCUUUUACAGAGGGAUAGCCUUUAGAAAUGAAGAUUAAUACCUUAUAGUAUUGAGACUUGGCAUCAAGUUUUAAUUAAAGAUUUAUCGGUAAAAGAUGGCUAUGCGUCCUAUUAGUUAGUUGGUAAGGUAACGGCUUACCAAGACAGCGAUAGGUAGGGGCCCUGAGAGGGGGAUCCCCCACACUGGUACUGAGACACGGACCAGACUCCUACGGGAGGCAGCAGUGAGGAAUAUUGGGCAAUGGAGGCAACUCUGACCCAGCCAUGCCGCGUGCAGGAAGACGGCCCUAUGGGUUGUAAACUGCUUUUAUACAGGAAGAAACACUCGUACGUGUACGAGCUUGACGGUACUGUAAGAAUAAGGACCGGCUAACUCCGUGCCAGCAGCCGCGGUAAUACGGAGGGUCCGAGCGUUAUCCGGAAUCAUUGGGUUUAAAGGGUCCGCAGGCGGUCAAUUAAGUCAGAGGUGAAAUACCAUAGCUCAACUAUGGAACUGCCUUUGAUACUGGUUGACUUGAGUCAUAUGGAAGUAGAUAGAAUGUGUAGUGUAGCGGUGAAAUGCAUAGAUAUUACACAGAAUACCGAUUGCGAAGGCAGUCUACUACGUAUGUACUGACGCUGAG